GAUGAACGCUGGCGGUAUGCUUAACACAUGCAAGUCGAACGGACUCUUCGGAGUUAGUGGCGGACGGGUGAGUAACGCGUGAGAAUCUGGCUUUGGGUUCGGGACAACCACUGGAAACGGUGGCUAAUACCGGAUGUGCCGAGAGGUAAAAGAGAAAUUGCCUGAAGAUGAGCUCGCGUCUGAUUAGCUAGUUGGUGAGGUAAAGGCUCACCAAGGCAGCGAUCAGUAGCUGGUCUGAGAGGAUGACCAGCCACACUGGGACUGAGACACGGCCCAGACUCCUACGGGAGGCAGCAGUGGGGAAUUUUCCGCAAUGGGCGAAAGCCUGACGGAGCAAUACCGCGUGAGGGAAGAAGGCUCUUGGGUUGUAAACCUCUUUUCUUAGGGAAGAACAAAAUGACGGUACCUAAGGAAUCAGCAUCUGCUAACUCCGUG
Molecule: ribosomal RNA, 435 nt
Filed under: uncultured bacterium
Lineage: Bacteria
Description: partial 16S ribosomal RNA
Rfam family: Bacterial small subunit ribosomal RNA
Source: RNAcentral